GGCCUCGUGGCCCAAUGGCAAGGCGUCUGACUACGAUUGCAGUUAAUCAGGAGAUUCUGGGUUCGACCCCCAGCGAGGUCA
Molecule: transfer RNA, 81 nt
Filed under: Nemania sp. FL0916
Lineage: Eukaryota; Fungi; Ascomycota; Sordariomycetes; Xylariales; Xylariaceae
Description: tRNA-Arg
Rfam family: tRNA
About the family: Transfer RNA (tRNA) molecules are approximately 80 nucleotides in length. Their secondary structure includes four short double-helical elements and three loops (D, anti-codon, and T loops).
Source: RNAcentral